CUCAACUUGACAGAUAAAUGUGUUAGGUUUAGGACCUAUUUAUGCGCUAAGCGCAGUUGAUA
RNAcentral lists this transfer RNA (62 nucleotides) under Ligia oceanica (common sea slater). RNAcentral describes it as "tRNA-Leu". The record is from RNAcentral. Lineage: Eukaryota; Metazoa; Arthropoda; Malacostraca; Isopoda; Ligiidae.